CGCGUAGGCGGUGAAACAAGUCACAUGUGAAAUACCAGGGCUCAACCUUGGGGGGUCAUGUGAAACUGCUUCACUUGAGUGCAGUAGAGGAGAGCGGAAUUCCUGGUGUAGCGGUAAAAUGCGUAGAGAUCAGGAGGAACACCGGUGGCGAAGGCGGCUCUCUGGGCUGUAACUGACGCUGAGGCGCGAAAGCGUGGGGAGCAAACAGGAUUAGAUACCCUGGUAGUCCACGCUGUAAACGAUGAUUACUAGGUGUAGGGGACGCAGGUCUUCUGUGCCGGAGCAAACGCAAUAAGUAAUCCGCCUGGGGAGUACGGCCGCAAGGUUGAA
RNAcentral lists this ribosomal RNA (330 nucleotides) under uncultured bacterium. Its description in RNAcentral is "bacterial SSU rRNA". It matches the Rfam family "Bacterial small subunit ribosomal RNA", at positions 568 to 898 of the family's 1533-position model. The record is from RNAcentral.